Molecule: long non-coding RNA, 91 nt
Organism: Chelonia mydas (Green sea turtle)
Lineage: Eukaryota; Metazoa; Chordata; Testudines; Cheloniidae
Exons: 4
Source: RefSeq, a predicted model, not a curated record
AGACCUGUGCUCUUCUGAUCUUUUGACUGGGGCAGUACACCUGUCAAACCGUAACGCAGGUGUCCUAAGGCGAGCUCAGGGAGGACAGAAA